Molecule: long non-coding RNA, 805 nt
Organism: Calidris pugnax (ruff)
Lineage: Eukaryota; Metazoa; Chordata; Aves; Charadriiformes; Scolopacidae
Exons: 2
Source: RefSeq, a predicted model, not a curated record
AAUUAUUUAACAAAAAGCACUUAAAUCCAUGUGGGAUUUUUAAAGCUAUGGUAGUAGAAGCCAGACCAAAUACUUAAAUCUCCUAUAUUCAAAUAGGAAUUGUGGAGAAUCUACAGUUUUUGCCCAAACUUGGUUUUUGUGUGUCUCAGCCCAAGGAAGGAGGUGCAGCAGGAGCUGCCUGUGCACAGCUGUUCCAGCUGCUGAGCACUGAAGGUGGCCCGUGAGGAGCUGCACACUACGGUGGUGCAUUGUGAGUGUUUACUGUUGUACAGGGCUGCGUGUUGAUUAUUAUACACAGCUCAAUUAGCAGUAAUCACAGAGCUCUGCCUCUUCACCACGCACAGCUGCUUUACUCUUAAUAAGAGGCCUGAGCUGAAGGCAGUGAUUUUGAUUUGCCACGUGCUCCCUUCUGGAGUUUGUGUCCAACCUUUGCAGGGACAGGAGAGGAGCUGGGACCAUAUGGAGAACUUCUCUACAGCUGGGUUUUAAACAAGAGGUGGAGAAACAGGCCUGGAAGACAUGGUCCAGUGUAAGUUAAUUAGCUAAAUACUGCCCCUUCCCUUCCUGGUUGUAAAACAGCCCUGGGUAACUACAUGGCUACAGUCAUUUUCUCUUAGAGAUCACAAUCUGCUUUCACCACAGUAAAGACACUUAAUUCAGCUGUCGGUUGCUGGCUUCGUUAGCUCUUAAAUAAACAGACUAUCUGAAGUGUGGUUUUAAUUACUGUUUUAUUAAGAUAUUGGUAAAACUUCAACAGUUUUUUCUGUAUAAACAGCUUUCAUAAAUAAAAUAUGGAUGACUAAUA